RNAcentral lists this ribosomal RNA (123 nucleotides) under Danio rerio (zebrafish). Lineage: Eukaryota; Metazoa; Chordata; Actinopteri; Cypriniformes; Danionidae. The record is from RNAcentral.
UUGUAUUACCAUUUUACCUUAUGGCCACAGCCCAAGACUGGUUACUCACUGAAGCCAAGCAGGGCUGAGCCUGGUCAGUACCUGGAUGAGAGACCAAAUGGGAAAACUGAGUUGCUGUUGGAA